UGGAGAUUCGUAAUGAUAUGUUGGAGGAGGAGAAAUGAUUGGUGGUGGUGGUGGAUGUUGGUAAUAAUUUGGCGGGGGAGGUGGAGAUUUGUAAUAAUGUGGAGGAGGUGGUGAUGGUGAUGGAGGUGAUUUAUAAUAGUGAUGACGUCGCGGAGGCGGUGGUGGAGGUGAUUUAUAAUAGUGAUGACGUCGUGGAGGAGGAGGCGGGGGCGAUUUAUAAUAGUAACGACGUCGUGGAGGAGGUGGUGGAGGCGAUCGUGGCCUAUAACGGUAUGACAAAGAUGAUGAAUCAUCAAUGUGGGGCUUAUAAUCAGCUG
Molecule: long non-coding RNA, 317 nt
Organism: Solanum stenotomum
Lineage: Eukaryota; Viridiplantae; Streptophyta; Magnoliopsida; Solanales; Solanaceae
Exons: 3
Source: RefSeq, a predicted model, not a curated record